RNAcentral lists this ribosomal RNA (465 nucleotides) under uncultured Klebsiella sp. RNAcentral describes it as "bacterial SSU rRNA". It matches the Rfam family "Bacterial small subunit ribosomal RNA", at positions 338 to 795 of the family's 1533-position model. The record is from RNAcentral. Lineage: Bacteria; Pseudomonadati; Pseudomonadota; Gammaproteobacteria; Enterobacterales; Enterobacteriaceae.
CCUACGGGUGGCAGCAGUGGGGAAUAUUGCACAAUGGGCGCAAGCCUGAUGCAGCCAUGCCGCGUGUGUGAAGAAGGCCUUCGGGUUGUAAAGCACUUUCAGCGGGGAGGAAGGCGGUGAGGUUAAUAACCUCAUCGAUUGACGUUACCCGCAGAAGAAGCACCGCCUAACUCCGUGCCAGCAGCCGCGGUAAUACGGAGGGUGCAAGCGUUAAUCGGAAUUACUGGGCGUAAAGCGCACGCAGGCGGUCUGUCAAGUCGGAUGUGAAAUCCCCGGGCUCAACCUGGGAACUGCAUUCGAAACUGGCAGGCUAGAGUCUUGUAGAGGGGGGUAGAAUUCCAGGUGUAGCGGUGAAAUGCGUAGAGAUCUGGAGGAAUACCGGUGGCGAAGGCGGCCCCCUGGACAAAGACUGACGCUCAGGUGCGAAAGCGUGGGGAGCAAACAGGAUUAGAUACCCGAGUAGUC